CUACGGGUUGCAGCAGUGGGGAAUAUUGCACAAUGGAGGAAACUCUGACGCAGCAACGCCGCGUGGAGGAUGACACUUUUCGGAGCGUAAACUCCUUUUAUAUAGGAAGAAGAUGACGGUACUAUAUGAAUAAGCGCCGGCUAACUCCGUGCCAGCAGCCGCGGUAAUACGGAGGGCGCAAGCGUUACUCGGAAUCACUGGGCGUAAAGAGCGUGUAGGCGGAUUAAAAAGUCAGAAGUGAAAUCCUAUAGCUUAACUAUAGAACUGCUUCUGAAACUCUUAAUCUAGAAUAUGGGAGAGGUAGAUGGAAUUUCUGGUGUAGGGGUAAAAUCCGUAGAGAUCAGAAGGAAUACCGAUUGCGAAGGCGAUCUCCUGGAACAUUACUGACGCUAAGGCGUGAAAGCGUGGGGAGCAAACAGGAUUAGAUACCCUUGUAGUC
RNAcentral lists this ribosomal RNA (439 nucleotides) under uncultured bacterium. RNAcentral describes it as "partial 16S ribosomal RNA". It matches the Rfam family "Bacterial small subunit ribosomal RNA", at positions 339 to 795 of the family's 1533-position model. The record is from RNAcentral.